Molecule: long non-coding RNA, 918 nt
Organism: Aegilops tauschii subsp. strangulata
Lineage: Eukaryota; Viridiplantae; Streptophyta; Magnoliopsida; Poales; Poaceae
Source: RefSeq, a predicted model, not a curated record
UGGCACACAUCCAUCCAUCCAUCCAUCCAUCCCACACCACGGUGCCCCCUCCCUCCGCUCCUUCCUCCCAUCAACCCAAACCCUAACUCCCACUCCCAUCGAGACCCCCAUUCAGAUCGCGCCGCCGCCUCCCAGGCACGUCCUUCCUUCCUUCCGCCGCCGCCUCCCAGGCACCUCCUCCCUUCCGCCGCCCAGGCACUUCCUCCUUUCUGUCACCGCCCAGGCACUUCCUCCCUUCCACCGGCCCCUAUCGACCACGGCCCGCGUCAGUCUCGCCGGAGAGAGAGAGGAGAUGCCGCCCAGCAACCACGGCGUCGCGGCUGGCUUGCUCGCCGGCACGCACGUGCGUGCUUCGAUGCGCUGCGCUUCGUCGAGCUGGCCGGACCGCGGCGCGCGCGUGGCCUGCAUAGGGUUUGCGGUGGCGUUGCUCCGAUCCGUCGUCGCUCGAGCACCGGGACGCCAUGUAUGGGAUGGCUGCUUCCUCCCCUGCCCAGACGCCAUGGAGUGGCUAGAUCUGGCCUCGUACGACGACGCCCAGUGAUAAGGGACGGCCUGGCCUACCACCCCGAAGCCAUAGCAAGGCGGGUGAGGGAGGAGUAGACCACAGUCGGAUGGGAGCCAAGAGGGGUCUGAAGCGGUGUCUCCUUCGAGCACCAAGACGGGUCUGCGGUGGAUGCUGGGUUGGAGCUCGGGUCGAUGGCGUGGCCAUGGACACGACCUCCUCGACCUUGACAGCCAACGCAUCGGCAGUGGAACAUCUGAUUCCCGAACCUCUUCUUCUCCUCUUUUAAUUUAAAGUUCUUAUUAGCUUAGUUGUAGAUUUCUAAGCAUGCCAUCUUGUUGUAAUUAAUAUUGUUAGUUUAGUUCCAGAUUUCGGUUGCUACUACUGUUGCAUAAUUGACCCUGAAUAUUCUGUCA